Molecule: ribosomal RNA, 456 nt
Filed under: uncultured bacterium
Lineage: Bacteria
Description: bacterial SSU rRNA
Rfam family: Bacterial small subunit ribosomal RNA
Source: RNAcentral
UGGAGGCAGCAGUGAGGAAUUUUGGACAAUGGGGGCAACCCUGAUCCAGCAAUGCCGCGUGAGUGAAGAAGGCCUUCGGGUUGUAAAGCUCUUUUGUCAGGGAAGAAACGGGAGUGGCUAAUAUCCAUUCCUAAUGACGGUACCUGAAGAAUAAGCACCGGCUAACUACGUGCCAGCAGCCGCGGUAAUACGUAGGGUGCAAGCGUUAAUCGGAAUUACUGGGCGUAAAGCGUGCGCAGGCGGUUUUGUAAGUCUGACGUGAAAUCCCCGGGCUUAACCUGGGAAUUGCGUUGGAGACUGCAAGGCUGGAGUCUGGCAGAGGGGGGUAGAAUUCCACGUGUAGCAGUGAAAUGCGUAGAGAUGUGGAGGAACACCGAUGGCGAAGGCAGCCCCCUGGGUCAAGACUGACGCUCAUGCACGAAAGCGUGGGGAGCAAACAGGAUUAGAUACCCUGGU